CAGCACGGGACGGGCAUUGUGACCCACAGAAGAACGAGACCCAGCAGGGGACACCCCCCACCGCCAUAUAGGUGCUUCCUCUGGGGUCCACCUGACCACACUAGGACCCUCAGUGCACACGCCCCGGGGGGACCGCCCGGACCCCGGGGCCACGAGGGGCCGCGCGGCUGCUCCACCUCCCUUCUCAGAGGCCGAGGCCGCCAAGCGGCGUCUCCACAAGAGCCCUGCCGGCCGGGGCUGUUCUGAGAGGAGCCACGCGGACGCCGUCACGACCACGCAGGCCCGGGGUCCUCGCUCUCCCUUCCCAGCUGCCCGCUCCAGGACGGCCUCAGGGCCCCAACGGCGCCGCUCUGGCCGCGGACACCAGAACUCGCUAGGCCUGAGGAGCCGGCGAGGAAGGCGCCGCGCAGACGCAGGAAAGUUCUCGGGCCCGGGCCGAACUUGCGCCCUCACCUGGCGCACGACCCGCGGGCCCGCCCUUCCUGCCAGUGUCCCCCGCUGCCGCUCGCCGCCUUGUCCGGGGAUCAGGGCUGGAGCCCUGGACGCCCGUCAGCUUAGGGUCUUGCCUCCGAGUCGCUCCUGUGGGUUAUAGAGGCGGCCGCCAGGGGGCGCCCUGCACCCAGCAUGGAAGUCACCUGGCCACUGUGGAUCUCAGGUUCGUGCGGGCGCACCUCCCGCGGGUCAGAAGCCCGACCUUGUCGGGGUCCUGCCGGCUCCUUUCCACCUGUGCUACCUGGCAGCCGUGGGCAGGGCGGUGGUCCCCCGGGCAGCUGAAGGGGUCUCAGAAGCUCCAGACACAGCCUCGCCCCCUGCCGCCUGGAGCAGCAGGCACUGUGAGGCUCCCUGCAGCAGUCGCUCCCUGGCCGCUCCGCGCGCACCCCUGCUGCCCAGGCUCCCGGGGAUCCGGAAAUCCCGGCGGCCAGAAUCCCUGUGGGCGCCUUCGUGGAGAGGACAGGUGUCCGCGUGUCCAUCACAGCAGAUUCAGCAGCAGUGACAGAGACCAACAAGGACGCCAACCAGGUUACCUGUGCGCCCAGCACAGAUCCGGUGUCUGGAACCUCUGCACCCCACAGUAUUCAUAGACACUGGAAUAACUCGCUUACAACGUAACUGUGCAUCAGGAUUUUCAUUAUCACAUAAUUAUUAUUUUCAUUGUGAGCACGCGCGCACAC
RNAcentral lists this long non-coding RNA (1172 nucleotides) under Oryctolagus cuniculus (rabbit). Its description in RNAcentral is "lncRNA (ENSOCUG00000034503.1)". Lineage: Eukaryota; Metazoa; Chordata; Mammalia; Lagomorpha; Leporidae. The record is from RNAcentral.